This 506-nucleotide ribosomal RNA is filed under the name uncultured bacterium. Its description in RNAcentral is "partial 16S ribosomal RNA". It matches the Rfam family "Bacterial small subunit ribosomal RNA", at positions 29 to 523 of the family's 1533-position model. The record is from RNAcentral.
AGUGAACGCUGGCGGUAGGCCUAACACAUGCAAGUCGAACGGCAGCACAGGAGAGCUUGCUCUCUGGGUGGCGAGUGGCGGACGGGUGAGGAAUACAUCGGAAUCUACUCUGUCGUGGGGGAUAACGUAGGGAAACUUACGCUAAUACCGCAUACGACCUACGGGUGAAAGCAGGGGACCUUCGGGCCUUGCGCGAUUGAAUGAGCCGAUGUCGGAUUAGCUAGUUGGCGGGGUAAAGGCCAACCAAGGCGACGAUCCGUAGCUGGUCUGGGAGGAUGAUCAGCCACACCGGAACUGAGACACGGUCCAGACUCCUACGGGAGGCAGCAGUGGGGAAUAUUGGACAAUGGGCGCAAGCCUGAUCCAGCCAUACCGCGUGGGUGAAGAAGGCCUUCGGGUUGUAAAGCCCUUUUGUUGGGAAAGAAAUCCAGCUGGCUAAUACCCGGUUGGGAUGACGGUACCCAAAGAAUAAGCACCGGCUAACUUCGUGCCAGCAGCCGCCGUAA